Long non-coding RNA from Gallus gallus (chicken), 1694 nucleotides. NCBI's taxonomy places the organism in Eukaryota, Metazoa, Chordata, Aves, Galliformes, Phasianidae. The record is from Ensembl.
AGCGCUAUAUGCAUACACGUCAAGAUAGGUCUGUACCAACAGGUUUGAACAGCCUGGUUUAGUGUGAGCAAGUUCAGCUCUGUCUGGAUCUGUCUGCAUAGACAUGCUAUAGAUUUCCCCUUUAAACAGAACUUUUUAUCUGAUUCUUUAGCACAGACACGGAACCAUAUAUUUGAAAGAGAUGGAGGGAUAUGUUCUGGUCUUCUGUGUGUACGUUCUGUUCAGAACAUUCUGAGAGCUCAGAAUAUCAUCAGAGCCAGAGGGAGACAUAAAAGAAAUAUACUGAAGACAGGAGAAUGAGACAUGCCGCAGAAGAAACAGUGUGGCUGCCCUUGAAUGCCUGGUGAUGGCAUAUUGUGCUUUGCUGUCAGUCUGUUGACUCAUGUACACUUCAAAAGAGCUCUCAGGAGAGGCAGUUAUGCGAGUCACUGCCUGAUGCACUGUAAAUCAUGGCUGUGCUUUUUUUGUUAUUUGAACGGGCGUCGAGUGAGCCUAAUGCUGUUUUGAAAGAUCAUCUAAUGUCAUUGGAACUCAGGGAUUUCAAUGAAUGUGGGGCAGAGGAUGAGGGAAUGCUCGCCCUCAUGGACAAGAUUAGUCAGAGCUACUUCAGGAUUGUCUGGUCAUCUCUUCUUUAGUAUCAUGUGCUGCAGGUCAAAGCAAAUAAAGCGGUAAGAAUCAGGAGCUUCAUGGAGGUUAUGCUGAACAGAGGUGUAUCCAAAAUCUUAGUGUGCUCUCGCCUCCAUGUCCUCUCUCUUGAAGCUGUACCCCUGAGAUUUGAUGAAAAAGCAGGACAAGAGCUUUAGAGAGUUGGUGCAGGGAUUGGUACUGUCAGAUGCUUUUUUGUCAUCGCCUUUCCUCUUAAGAACAAACAAAUGCUUCCCCUCUAAGGAGUAAGGCAGUAAAGGGAUACCAGGUGGCACUGAAUAAACUGUGAAAUGCUGCAGUCAUAAUGCUGUAGUAGAACCACAUCAGGAAUUUUAGUCCAGAUUCCUAAGGAAAGAACUUUUUACACUGUGUUGCUUUCGUCUGAUGGUCUGCAGGAUAUCUCCAUAAUUUUAAAAGUAGGCCAGCUUCAAAUAAACUUUGCAGAAUGGAAGAGGCUUGUUGUUCUUAAUGAAGAUGAUUGAGGGGGUCAAGGUGAAUCUCCCCACAGAAGGAAAGGUUUAGAUUGGAGUUCAGGUGUGUUCUUAGUGACAAACCAACAAGGGGGAAAUUUUGAAUGCCCUGUGUACAAGAAAAACUUUGAACAAAGUUUGCAUUCUAGUUGAAAUGGGAUGGUAAAAACAUGAGAUGCAAAGCUAUAGGUAACUCUGAAAAGCAUUUUACUUUCUCUGUUUGUAAAGUUGAAAUUGUGCUGCUUACAGUUACAAACUGGAAAUUCAGAGCACAGAACCAACUAUGUAAAGACUUGCAGAACCAUAUUAAACCACAAUAUCGAAGACAAAGAUUAUUUCUGAACCUCUGAUGCUGUCAAUUCAGGAGUUCCCAGGGCUAUCUGGUUUGCCUUUUGCUUUGCUGCUGAGAAUGGAAGAAAUCACAUCUCUUGAGACUGCUGCGGGGAUUGUUUUGAGCUAUUUUAAAAUUCACAGGAGAUAGUUAAGAAAUUCACUUUCUUAUGUUGCUUUACAAAACCUAGGAGUAUUAUUUUAGAUGUCCUUCAGUGAUACUGUGAUUUCCAUAUACUUUAAGAAUAG